GACGGACGGUGCAAGCGUUGCUCGGAAUCACUGGGCGUAAAGGGUGCGUAGGCGGCUUGGUGGGUCUGGUGUGAAAGCCCCGGGCUCAGCCCGGGAAGGGCGCUAGAAACUGCCGAGCUCGAGUGCCGGAGGGGAGAGUGGAAUUCCUGGUGUAGCGGUGAAAUGCGUAGAUAUCAUUUGGAACGCCAAUGGUGAAAACAGGUAGCUGGGAGUGUGCUGACGCUGAGACACGAAAGCCAGGGGAGCAAACGGG
This 253-nucleotide ribosomal RNA is filed under the name uncultured bacterium. RNAcentral's name for it is "partial 16S ribosomal RNA". It matches the Rfam family "Bacterial small subunit ribosomal RNA", at positions 524 to 776 of the family's 1533-position model. The record is from RNAcentral.